This 268-nucleotide long non-coding RNA is filed under the name Sorghum bicolor (sorghum). RNAcentral describes it as "long non-coding RNA (SBIC_LNC011277)". Lineage: Eukaryota; Viridiplantae; Streptophyta; Magnoliopsida; Poales; Poaceae. The record is from RNAcentral.
CUGCACAGUAUACCGUAGCUUCGACUAUAGGGUGGGUACUAUUCAUCCGAGUUCUUAGCUCUCAACAGGCUCUCCCCCCUCCACCUCCAGCCGUUUUAGGCAUAACAACUAAGAAACUCUACGAGACAAACAAGUAGGCUAUACAUUUUAAUAAUAAAGAGCUAACUAGACUGAGAGAUAGCAAGAAACCUUACGGCCAAUACGCCAGCUAUAUUAUUAACCUUGCUUUUAGGAAUAUGAAUUUUGUGAACAAACUUUGCAAUGGAAC